CCUACGGGAGGCAGCAGUGGGGAAUAUUGGGCAAUGGGCGCAAGCCUGACCCAGCAACGCCGCGUGAAGGAAGAAGGCUCUCGGGUUGUAAACUUCUUUUCUCAGGGACGCAGCAAGUGACGGUACCUGAGGAAUAAGCCACGGCUAACUACGUGCCAGCAGCCGCGGUAAUACGGAGGAUGCGAGCGUUAUCCGGAUUUAUUGGGUUUAAAGGGUGCGCAGGCGGCCUGUUAAGUCAGCGGUAAAAGCCCGGGGCUCAACCCCGGCGAGCCGUUGAAACGGGGGGGCUAGAGUUGGAGAGAGGUAUGCGGAAUGCGUGGUGUAGCGGUGAAAUGCAUAGAUAUCGCGCAGAACCCCGAUUGCGAAGGCAGCAUACCGGCGCCCAACUGACGCUGAGGCACGAAAGCGUGGGUAUCGAACAGGAUUAGAUACCCGUGUAGUC
Molecule: ribosomal RNA, 442 nt
Filed under: uncultured bacterium
Lineage: Bacteria
Description: partial 16S ribosomal RNA
Rfam family: Bacterial small subunit ribosomal RNA
Source: RNAcentral